RNAcentral lists this ribosomal RNA (253 nucleotides) under uncultured bacterium. RNAcentral describes it as "partial 16S ribosomal RNA". It matches the Rfam family "Bacterial small subunit ribosomal RNA", at positions 524 to 776 of the family's 1533-position model. The record is from RNAcentral.
UACAGAGGGGGCAAGCGUUGUUCGGAAUUACUGGGCGUAAAGAGCUCGUAGGCGGUCUGUCGCGUCGAAUGUGAAAACCCGGGGCUCAACUCCGGGCUUGCAUUCGAUACGGGCAGGCUAGAGUUCGGUAGGGGAGUCUGGAAUUCCUGGUGUAGCGGUGAAAUGCGCAGAUAUCAGGAGGAACACCGGUGGCGAAGGCGGGUCUCUGGGCCGAUACUGACGCUGAGGAGCGAAAGCGUGGGGAGCGAACAGG